GAAAACUGCAAAGGAUUUCCCACCAGCUUGUUAAGCCCAUAACAUUCAAGGUGGCAUUUGUGUCUGCAAACGUUGUGCCUGAAGAAAAAAGAAUCCGAACAAAAAACUCUAAAUUUAAGCCUUUCGACAAUGCCAUAUAUUUUAAGAUAAACUUUGUAUCCAAAAAAUUGGCAAAUAAAUUAUUAGUGAAUAAAAAGGUUGUCAAAGAGAACUUAUUUACUUA
Molecule: long non-coding RNA, 223 nt
Organism: Gossypium raimondii (Peruvian cotton)
Lineage: Eukaryota; Viridiplantae; Streptophyta; Magnoliopsida; Malvales; Malvaceae
Exons: 2
Source: RefSeq, a predicted model, not a curated record